ACCGAUACCGGCCUGGCAUUCGGGCACCUCGGCUGCGAGUCGGUGUGCAAUGGCUCGUGCGGUGGCCAGCGCGUCGGUU
Molecule: transfer RNA, 79 nt
Filed under: Mycobacterium innocens
Lineage: Bacteria; Bacillati; Actinomycetota; Actinomycetes; Mycobacteriales; Mycobacteriaceae
Description: Mycobacterium sp. MK13 tRNA-Arg
Source: RNAcentral